UCAGGCGCGGGCGGGCGACGGGAAGGGCCUCGGCGCUCUGGCGGGGCGGGGCGCGGGCGCCGCGGUUUCUUCCAGUGGCUUGGCAGUUGGCAGCGGCUCGGCGCGCACCCAACGGCCCACCGCGGGUUUCCGGGACGGCUAGCAGCGCGGGUCCCGGUCCCGCCCCGAACCCGCUUACCUGGCGCAGAGGCCGCUCAGUGCGGUGCGGUCAGGCCUCGUGGGCUGGGACUCUGCAAGUGCUUGGUACAUGCACAGAUGGUAUUUAUUUGCUGUUUGUCUUAAAUUGCAUUCUUAUGCAUCAUGGAGAGUGAGAUAAGGAGAAGAAAAAAUAUUUUCUACAGGACCAUCCAAACAUGGACCUCACCACGUUGUCCCUCAUCCACGUCACCCGACCAACCCACACGGAGGUCCUGAGGGCUGCACCACACAGCCCCGAAGGGGCAGAGCUGGGGUCACACAGGUCUCGGAAGCCCACGCUGUGGCCCCAGGAGAAGGUUCUGGAUGUGGCUCCUGACAAGAGCAAAAAUCGCCCCCUGCAGAAACUUAGGAACUACGUACAGAACUUUACAGAGCAGAGGCAGCGCCAUAGCUGAGGCCUGGCUGCUGACCAGGAAGUGGAACUCUGAGUGCUCUCAAGGUAUGCAAGGAAGCCAGGCAGGGAGGAAGGGGCCGGCGGAGUCCGACUUCAGCUGCCAUCUUGUUUGGUGGCACAUCUCGUGGUCACAGGUUGUAGGCUCUGUUUCUGGAAGGUUCGGGUACAGCGCAAGAUUCCACUUGUUUACUUGGCUAUGUCUGUGCCUGAGGUGCCAUGAGGCCAACGGACGUCACUCAAAUUCAUGUCCAGCCAAACUCCCACAGCAAAGAAUCCCGAACCCAGGAUGAAGUUCCUCUAGAAAGCAUUCUUAUCCGUGGCAAAGCUGCAGACACCCCGAAACCAAUUUCCCACCUCGUCUGGAAUUUCGGGAGCUUUGUUUGCUGAGCCAGUGCACUCAUGGCGACCCUGCAGGAAGCCAGUGGCACCUCUGGGUUUUGCACCGUGUGUGUUCUCUUCUCCAAACUGCGGUUUUUGCUUAGCAAAGAGCCUUGCCUGCCACUGAUGAUGGCGGUGUGGGGUCAUUUUGAAUGGCUGCCUGAGACUGCAUGGCACAUUCACGCACACAGUCCUAUGGGAUUUUGACAUAAUAAGAAAUAGAUAUUUCAGCUCUCCCCCUGGUUCCUGACAGAGAGCUCCUAAAACCAUUGAAAUUUCCUGGAUAAUAGGAGCUUCUUCUGUUCUAAUGCGGUGACUCUUGGCUCCUGGGUGGGGGCUGGUCACUAGCGAGACCACACCACGAUGAGAAACCUGGAGCUUCAGCUCUACCCCCACCUCUGAGCAGGGGAGACGCGCUAGCUAGCGGCGCCAUCCUAAUGCGUCAUGUGCCUACGUGAUGACGUCUCCAUAAAAGUCCCUCAACAGUGUCCAUUCCUAAUGCGUCAUGUGCCUACGUGAUGACGUCUCCAUAAACGUCCCUCAACAGUGGCCAUUCCUAAUGCGUCAUGUGCCUACGUGAUGACGUCUCCAUAAACGUCCGAAAACAGUGGCCAUUCCUAAUGCACCAUGUGCCUACGUGAUGACGUCUCCUUAAAAGUCCCUCAACAGUGGCCAUUCCUAAUGCGCCAUGUGCCUACGUGAUGACGUCUCCAUAAACGUCCCUCAACAGCGGGGGUUUGGCGAGCUCCCAGCUAUUAUGGAAAAUACCACUGCGAUGAAUCUUCACAUACAAGUGUCUAUGUGGACACAUAUUUUCAUUUGUUGGGGAUAUGCCUCGGAGUGGACUUGCUGGGACCUAUGGCUGCUCUGUGUUCAGCAUUUUGAGGAAUUGGCCGACCGUUUUCUAAAGCGGGUGCACCAUUUGACAGUCCCACCAGCAGCAUGAGAGAGUUCUGGCGUCUCCACAUCCUCGUCAACACUCACUACCUGACUUUUUGGGUCUAGCUCUCCAGGUCAGGAAGCCGAACCAAAUCGACCUCCCUCAGGUGUGCCUGCAGGACCUGUGUGUGUGCAAGUUUCCAUCUUCCAGAGGGUUCCAGUGUCUGCCACGGCUCUUGGCCUGCCAGGAAGUGUCCUUCUUACUACUUGUGAGGCUGAGGCCUUGUGUGCCAGAAUACAGGCGCCCGGCCACUGUGGGUCUGAGGGUUGUGUGGGCAUUGGUUCAGCACACAUGCCACAACCCUUGUUCCUUAAUGGUGUGGAAGCACAGGAAAGUUAUUCUCAAAUAUGACACCCAAUUAAGGCCUGGGCUCCACUAUUAAUUUGUCUGAUUAUAUCCUGGUGACAAGGAGGACAAAUUUCUACUGCAACAAUGCAAAUUACUACAUUUUUAUUAAAAGUAAAUGUCAGUAAAACUAUU
This is a long non-coding RNA of Symphalangus syndactylus (siamang), 2390 nucleotides long. RefSeq lists it as uncharacterized. The record is from RefSeq and is a predicted model, not a curated record. NCBI's taxonomy places the organism in Eukaryota, Metazoa, Chordata, Mammalia, Primates, Hylobatidae.